RNAcentral lists this ribosomal RNA (481 nucleotides) under uncultured bacterium. RNAcentral describes it as "partial 16S ribosomal RNA". It matches the Rfam family "Bacterial small subunit ribosomal RNA", at positions 28 to 507 of the family's 1533-position model. The record is from RNAcentral.
GAUGAACGCUGGCGGCGUGCUUAACACAUGCAAGUCGAACGAAGCACUUUAUUUGAUUUCCUUCGGGACUGAUUAUUUUGUGACUGAGUGGCGGACGGGUGAGUAACGCGUGGGUAACCUGCCUUGUACAGGGGGAUAACAGUUGGAAACGGCUGCUAAUACCGCAUAAGCGCACAGCAUCGCAUGAUGCAGUGUGAAAAACUCCGGUGGUAUAAGAUGGACCCGCGUUGGAUUAGCAAGUUGGUGAGUUAACGGGCCACCAAGGCGACGAUCCAUAGCCGACCUGAGAGAGUGACCGGCCACAUUGGGACUGAGACACGGCAGGAACUCCUACGGGAGGCAGCAGUGGGGAAUAUUGCACAAUGGGCGAAAGCCUGAUGCACCGACGACGCGAGAGCGAUGAAGUAAUGCAGUAUGUAAAGCGCUAGUAGCAGGGAACAUAAUGACGGUACCUGACCAAGAAGCCACGGCUAACUACGUG